RNAcentral lists this ribosomal RNA (427 nucleotides) under uncultured archaeon. RNAcentral's name for it is "bacterial SSU rRNA". It matches the Rfam family "Archaeal small subunit ribosomal RNA", at positions 474 to 903 of the family's 1478-position model. The record is from RNAcentral.
UACCUGCAGAUCAAGUGGUGGCCGCUAUUAUUGGGCCUAAAACGUUCGUAGCCGGCUGAGUAAAUGCUUGGGUAAAUCGUGCCGCUUAACGGUACGAAUUCCGAGUAGACUACUCAGCUUGAGACCGGGAGAAGCUAGAGGUACUCCUGGGGUAGGGGUGAAAUCCUGUAAUCCUGGGGGACCACCAGUGGCGAAGGCGUCUAGCUAGAACGGGUCUGACGGUGAGGGACGAAACCCUGGGGCGCAAACCGGAUUAGAUACCCGGGUAGUCCAGGGCGCAAACGCUGCUUGCUUGAUGUUAGCUGGGCUCCGAGCUCAGCUAGUGUCGGAGAGAAGUUGUAGCAAGCUGCCUGGGAAGUACGAUCGCAAGAUUAGAAACUUAAAGGAAUUGGGCGGGGAGCACAGCAACGGGUGGAGCGUGCGGUUU